This 1335-nucleotide ribosomal RNA is filed under the name Bacillus subtilis. RNAcentral's name for it is "bacterial SSU rRNA". It matches the Rfam family "Bacterial small subunit ribosomal RNA", at positions 20 to 1338 of the family's 1533-position model. The record is from RNAcentral. Lineage: Bacteria; Bacillati; Bacillota; Bacilli; Caryophanales; Bacillaceae.
UGGCUCAGGACGAACGCUGGCGGCGUGCCUAAUACAUGCAAGUCGAGCGGACAGAUGGGAGCUUGCUCCCUGAUGUUAGCGGCGGACGGGUGAGUAACACGUGGGUAACCUGCCUGUAAGACUGGGAUAACUCCGGGAAACCGGGGCUAAUACCGGAUGCUUGUUUGAACCGCAUGGUUCAAACAUAAAAGGUGGCUUCGGCUACCACUUACAGAUGGACCCGCGGCGCAUUAGCUAGUUGGUGAGGUAAUGGCUCACCAAGGCAACGAUGCGUAGCCGACCUGAGAGGGUGAUCGGCCACACUGGGACUGAGACACGGCCCAGACUCCUACGGGAGGCAGCAGUAGGGAAUCUUCCGCAAUGGACGAAAGUCUGACGGAGCAACGCCGCGUGAGUGAUGAAGGUUUUCGGAUCGUAAAGCUCUGUUGUUAGGGAAGAACAAGUACCGUUCGAAUAGGGCGGUACCUUGACGGUACCUAACCAGAAAGCCACGGCUAACUACGUGCCAGCAGCCGCGGUAAUACGUAGGUGGCAAGCGUUGUCCGGAAUUAUUGGGCGUAAAGGGCUCGCAGGCGGUUUCUUAAGUCUGAUGUGAAAGCCCCCGGCUCAACCGGGGAGGGUCAUUGGAAACUGGGGAACUUGAGUGCAGAAGAGGAGAGUGGAAUUCCACGUGUAGCGGUGAAAUGCGUAGAGAUGUGGAGGAACACCAGUGGCGAAGGCGACUCUCUGGUCUGUAACUGACGCUGAGGAGCGAAAGCGUGGGGAGCGAACAGGAUUAGAUACCCUGGUAGUCCACGCCGUAAACGAUGAGUGCUAAGUGUUAGGGGGUUUCCGCCCCUUAGUGCUGCAGCUAACGCAUUAAGCACUCCGCCUGGGGAGUACGGUCGCAAGACUGAAACUCAAAGGAAUUGACGGGGGCCCGCACAAGCGGUGGAGCAUGUGGUUUAAUUCGAAGCAACGCGAAGAACCUUACCAGGUCUUGACAUCCUCUGACAAUCCUAGAGAUAGGACGUCCCCUUCGGGGGCAGAGUGACAGGUGGUGCAUGGUUGUCGUCAGCUCGUGUCGUGAGAUGUUGGGUUAAGUCCCGCAACGAGCGCAACCCUUGAUCUUAGUUGCCAGCAUUCAGUUGGGCACUCUAAGGUGACUGCCGGUGACAAACCGGAGGAAGGUGGGGAUGACGUCAAAUCAUCAUGCCCCUUAUGACCUGGGCUACACACGUGCUACAAUGGACAGAACAAAGGGCAGCGAAACCGCGAGGUUAAGCCAAUCCCACAAAUCUGUUCUCAGUUCGGAUCGCAGUCUGCAACUCGACUGCGUGAAGCUGGAAUCGCUAG